GGGGCAGUAGUCUAGUGGUCAUCUCGCUCUCUCUUGUAAAGAGAGAGAGGUCGGUGGUUCGAAUCCAUCCUGCUCCA
Molecule: transfer RNA, 77 nt
Filed under: Colletotrichum orbiculare MAFF 240422
Lineage: Eukaryota; Fungi; Ascomycota; Sordariomycetes; Glomerellales; Glomerellaceae
Description: tRNA-Thr (TGT) (tRNA-Thr-TGT-32-1)
Rfam family: tRNA
About the family: Transfer RNA (tRNA) molecules are approximately 80 nucleotides in length. Their secondary structure includes four short double-helical elements and three loops (D, anti-codon, and T loops).
Source: RNAcentral